This 406-nucleotide unclassified non-coding RNA is filed under the name Prostanthera magnifica. RNAcentral's name for it is "partial external transcribed spacer". The record is from RNAcentral. Lineage: Eukaryota; Viridiplantae; Streptophyta; Magnoliopsida; Lamiales; Lamiaceae.
CAACCAGGUAGCAUUCCUCACCGACGCCGAUCGGCGUGAUGCAAUCCGUAAGGAAUCCAGCACAACCGAUACGAACGUCGUUCGCACGCAGCGUCGAACGCUUUGUUCGGAGGGGCAAAUAGAGGUUGAGGCCUCAUGCCCACAAGAUGUUCCGCAUCCGAGAUUUCGAGCAUUACGCCUUGGGUGGGCUACCCGAGCGCAUGCGCACACACCCACGAGUGCCAACCACGACGCAUGCUAUGAGUUCCAAUCCGCACCACGACACCGACGGGCGACGCAAGACAGAAUGAAAUGGGACUAUUUUGUCAUCGUCAUGCCUUAACGAUAGGUAUCGAGCACAGGAGGCCACAAAUCGGACAAGGCUUGGGUGCCCUUGCGCCGAUGAUUGAAGAGGCGCGGUUGGGAU